AAGCAGCCAAAAUUCCACACGGCCUUACCGGCCCCCGUAGAUCUCUCAACAUCUCGCGAGAUCUGUUUCUGCUGGGUGGUUAACUGAGACGGCAGAGUUCCUGGCGUGGACGCAGUGCUUUCUGCUUUACCUCCGUCUCAGUGCUGUUCCAGCUGCUCUGCGGGGACCUACCAGCCUUACCAAUAGAAACCUGUACUUUUUACUCAAGGUCAUACAGCUCUGUAUCAGAUAGCAGCAGAGCUUCAGCAAUAACAUCAGAUGCCAUCGUAGAUUAAUGUUUCAGUUAUCCUUACACAGUUUGAUCAUUUUUGAAGCUGGCCUGGUUAAAAAGUUCCUAUUGAUAAUGACUGCAGUUCAAGCUUCUGCUGCUGAGCAGCUUCUACUCCUGGU
Molecule: long non-coding RNA, 390 nt
Organism: Acinonyx jubatus (cheetah)
Lineage: Eukaryota; Metazoa; Chordata; Mammalia; Carnivora; Felidae
Exons: 4
Source: RefSeq, a predicted model, not a curated record